This 618-nucleotide long non-coding RNA is filed under the name Equus caballus (horse). RNAcentral's name for it is "lncRNA (ENSECAG00000038414.3)". The record is from RNAcentral. Lineage: Eukaryota; Metazoa; Chordata; Mammalia; Perissodactyla; Equidae.
GGCUUUUGGAAGUAAGUGCUUUUUGAAGAUGUUUACAUCAGCGGUGAAUCGGGAGUGAGGAAUUGAAAUUUUACAGAGACAAAGGGAUCUGAAAUCAACCAGAAUAAAAUGACCACGGAGUAGACGUGUUACAAAGAAAAAGAGAGGAAAAUCGGCAACAAUAGUGACAACAAGAACAAAAUAACAAGAAAACUCCCACAAAGACAGAAGGAAGACAAUGCAGCUAGUGAGCAAAUUAGGAAUUUGAAAGCAUCUUCUGAGAGCUUGAAUGAUGAAUGUACUGAGGUUCCUAAGGGUGAGGUGAGAAGACCCAUCCAGCAUCACAAGACCCAUUCAAGGUGAUGUGGCUAGUUUGUGCUGAAGGCAGAAGUUUCCAGAAUUCCUGACCCUCAUGCUAUGGAACAGUCCUUGUGAGAAUAUCAGAGAUGAAUGAACAAGCAGGUGGAAGUUCGGAGGAAGACACGAUUAUAGACAAAAUGAAGGCACUACAUUUUCUCUGAUAAAAAAGUCUCUCAACAUUUUUAUAUCCUGUUGGUUUUCUAGGAAACGUAGACAUGCUCUGUAGGAAAUAAUCUCAAAAUGGACGUGAUGGAUUAAAGAUGGGGAAACAUGCCCUGG